Molecule: ribosomal RNA, 253 nt
Filed under: uncultured bacterium
Lineage: Bacteria
Description: partial 16S ribosomal RNA
Rfam family: Bacterial small subunit ribosomal RNA
Source: RNAcentral
UACGUAGGGGGCGAGCGUUGUCCGGAUUUAUUGGGCGUAAAGGGCCCGCAGGCGGUCCGCUCAGUUUGGGGUUACAGCUGUCGGCUUAACCGGCAGAGCGCCUCGAAGACGGGCGGACUUGAGGACUUCAGAGGGACACAGAAUUCCGGGUGGAGUGGUGAAAUGCGUAGAUAUCCGGAGGAAUACCAAAGGCGAAGGCAGUGUCCUGGGGAGUGACUGACGCUUAUGGGCGAAAGCUAGGGGAGCGAACGGG